UGCGGAAUUUUGGACAAUGGGCGCAAGCCUGAUCCAGCCAUGCCGCGUGAGUGAAGAAGGCCUUCGGGUUGUAAAGCUCUUUCAGUUGGGAAGAAACGAUUGCAACUAAUAAUUGUAAUUAAUGACGGUACCGACAGAAGAAGCACCGGCUAACUACGUGCCAGCAGCCGCGGUAAUACGUAGGGUGCGAGCGUUAAUCGGAAUUACUGGGCGUAAAGGCUGCGCAGGCGGUUUUGUAAGUCAGAUGUGAAAUGCCCGGGCUUAACCUGGGAAUGGCGUUUGAAACUGCAAGGCUAGAGUGUAGCAGAGGCGGGUGGAAUUCCACGUGUAGCAGUGAAAUGCGUAGAGAUGUGGAGGAACACCGAUGGCGAAGGCAGCCCCCUGGGUUAACACUGACGCUCAGGCACGAAAGCGUGGGGAGCAAACAGGAUUAGAUACCCUGGUAGUCCACGCCCUAAACGAUGUCAACUAGUUGUCGGGUCUUAACGGGCUUGGUAACGCAGCUAACGCGUGAAGUUGACCGCCUGGGGAGUACGGUCGCAAGAUUA
Molecule: ribosomal RNA, 548 nt
Filed under: uncultured Nitrosococcus sp.
Lineage: Bacteria; Pseudomonadati; Pseudomonadota; Gammaproteobacteria; Chromatiales; Chromatiaceae
Description: bacterial SSU rRNA
Rfam family: Bacterial small subunit ribosomal RNA
Source: RNAcentral